CUGGGCUGUUCUUGGCCAGGCAGGUGUAGGGUUCCCUCCAGGAAGCACAGCUCCCAGGGACUUGGUGGGAAGCCAGGAAAGAGCUCCUCACCGGGACCCUGAAUCGCUCCCGAUGGAGACACAGGUGCCCUGCGGUGGCAGGGUGGCAGCCCGCCUACAAGUGCCCCACAGCAGCCACGUGUGAAGUCUGGCUGCCACGUGGGGAUGCAUGUCCCUGGUCUGCAGCACCUCCACAGGUGGAUGUGCACGGAGUGCCUUGAGGUGGCCCUACAUGCCACACGGGACAACACACAGAUGAGUGCUCUGCCACGUUGCACUUCCCCAGAUGCCUUGUGAUGUCUGCUCUGGCAGGGAGGCAAGCUAUCCUGUAGGGUAGCAGGGUCCUGUCCCCUCAGCAGGCCUUGACGUGGAUGUUGAGAAGACGGGCUUUAAGUCCUGCUUCACAGAGCAGCGCAGGGUGGGCUGUGUGCUGAGGGAGUCCUGGUUUUGUAUCUGCUGGCCCUGCCUGGGGUGGAGCACCUGCAGGCCAGUCCUGGGAGGGCUGGGGCCGCCUCCACCAUUUCCUGGGUGUGUCCAGGUGCUGCUUCAGCUUAGUCCCUCAGUCUUCUGAGACUGUGGAUCUGCAGCAGGUUGGACAAGGAACAAUCUUCCCAUUGGAAAUCCUGCAAGUCAACAAGAAAAAGGCAGAAGUCCCCAAUUAUAAAAACAGCAAUGGCCUCAAACAGCCUUUGUAUAGAGGAAGAGAGAGAGGAAAAAAAAAAAAAACCAGUAUGAGAGGAAGGAAGUUUUCAGAACCAUAACAAGAAAUGGAAGUUAAACUAGCCUCGCUGGCAUACACCUAUAAUCACAACAGUUUAGGAGGCUGAGGCAGGAGGAUCACAGUUUCAAAGCCAGCCUCAACAAUUUGGUCCUUGUCUCAAAAUAAUAAAUACGAUGAUGUGGGGAUGUGGUUCAUCAGUUAAUUUAAACAUGCCUGGGUUCAAUCCCUGGUACAAAAAAA
This 1000-nucleotide long non-coding RNA is filed under the name Marmota monax (woodchuck). Lineage: Eukaryota; Metazoa; Chordata; Mammalia; Rodentia; Sciuridae. The record is from RNAcentral.